Molecule: unclassified non-coding RNA, 250 nt
Filed under: plant metagenome
Description: partial contains small subunit ribosomal RNA, internal transcribed spacer 1, and 5.8S ribosomal RNA
Source: RNAcentral
GUAGGUGAACCUGCGGAAGGAUCAUUAACACGUAUCCACGUAUUAACUAAACGGUAACUGUAUCUCCCUAGUAAUUGUUUAGCUGUUUGACCGAAUCAUGGUGGGUAUACACUCGUGUAUACGAAUUGGUUGAACUUGGGCCUCGAGCUCAAAGCUUUACUCUUUAUUAGGCUUUCUUUUCCAUCUAACCUUUCUACCCUAGGGGAAGAUGGAAUCUAUAAAAACCUAUUUCACCCUAACUAUCAACAUU